This is a long non-coding RNA of Caretta caretta (loggerhead turtle), 394 nucleotides long. RefSeq lists it as uncharacterized. NCBI's taxonomy places the organism in Eukaryota, Metazoa, Chordata, Testudines, Cheloniidae. The record is from RefSeq and is a predicted model, not a curated record.
UAUUUGCCCUUUUCCAGUCCUCUGGAAUCUCUCCCAUCUUCCAUGACUUUUUGAAGAUAAUCGCUAAUGGCUCAGAUAUCUCCUCAGUCAGCUCCUUGAGCAUUCUAGGAUGUAUUUCAUCAGACCCUGGUGACUUUAAGACAUCUAACUUGUCUUUGCUGUAUGCCACAGAAAGGAACAUGAGUGAAGAGACUGGAGUCGAACUGAGUUCUUGGGGAACUGAGUGGAAGAGGUCUCAGGAAAACACCAAUAUAGUGGUUCAGUGACUCGGAUUCAAUUCAUCUGGAGCAGAUGGCUGUGCGCUUUGGAAGCAGAAAUCAACCCAGUACCAAGCAAGAUCAGUGAAUAUAAGAAAUGAAUCUAAAGUAUUAACGCUUUUAUCCAAAAGUUUUGU